This is an RNA transcript of Bubalus bubalis (water buffalo), 4283 nucleotides long. It is a transcript of the gene named melatonin receptor 1A, with no coding region annotated. NCBI's taxonomy places the organism in Eukaryota, Metazoa, Chordata, Mammalia, Artiodactyla, Bovidae. The transcript has 3 exons. The record is from RefSeq and is a predicted model, not a curated record.
UCAUAAAAGGCGGCGGGGCGGGAUCUCGCCGCUCUGGGGAUCCGCCGGCGCCGGCCCUGCCCGCGCGAUGGCGGGGCGGCUGUGGGGCUCGCCGGGCGGGACCCCCAAGGGCAACGGCAGCACCGUGCUGCUCAACGUCUCGCAGCCGGCGCCCGGCGCCGGGGACGGCGCGCGCCCGCGGCCCUCGUGGCUGGCCGCCACCCUCGCCUCCAUCCUCAUCUUCACCAUCGUGGUGGACAUCGUGGGCAACCUCCUGGUGGUCCUGUCCGUGUAUCGGAACAAGAAGCUGAGGAACGCAGAUCAAUAUUGAACAUUAUUCCUGUCGAUCCUGUGUCACCACGUGGAAGGGCUGCACAAACUAUGGAGAAAACAUGGAGCCUCUGCCUGGACUUAUGAAUUUUAAACUUGGAUGCUUGAGGGCUGGUCUUAAGAUGCUUUUAGGUCCUAGGAAUGCCUACCUAAUAUUAUUUUCAAAUUCAGGCCAUGAAGGACAAGGCUCGCUGCCGUCUCUGUUAACCUUGACCACACUCACCACCUGGUCGUCAGUUCUGCAGCCCAGGUCCCAUUGAAUGUGUUCCUAGCUGCUUGAUUGAGCCCUUGACCAUUCUCAUCACCUGCGCUAGCUUUUUUUGCCUCCUUCCCCUCCUUUCUCUGUUUGCCUUCUCUUUUGUUCUUCUCCAUUGUCUGUUUUUCGUUCUUUGGUCUCUGAUUUUCUUCAACCACAUAAUUAGAUUCAGUCACUUAGUAAAGGUCAUACCUGAAUCUCUUUUUCCUAAUUGUGUCUGUUGGGUAUCAGCAAAAAAUAGCCCUGAACUUAGAAGUGUGUUGUGUUCUACAAGUUCACUCCCUGGUGGCUCAGAUGGUAAGGAGUCUACCCUCAAUGCAGGAGACCCGGGUUCAAUCCUUGAGUCGGGAAAGUCCCCUGGAGAAGGGCAUGGCAACCCACUCGCGUAUUCUUGCCUGGAGAAUUCAAUGGAUCGAGGAGCCUCGUGGGCUACAGUCCAUGGGGUCGCAAAGAGUUGGACACGAUUGAGCGAUUAACACAAUAUUAGAAGAAUAUUGUUUAUGAUAUUGAUAUGAUGUGUAUAUGAUAUUUUGGUUCUUAUGCUAGCUAGUCCACAAGAGCAUUCAGACCAACAAUUUGGCUGAAAUAAUCUUCAGAAUUGCUAGGUCACCUGAAACUCGUGAGCUUCUGAAAAACAACCUGCCUUGUCUGAAUUCUGAGCCUCUUGGGAUCCUGUGAGGAUGGGAAAGAGUGGUGUGGGUGGGAGUGGGUGGGAGCUUCCCUUAUUAAUUCAGAAAUGUCAGGAGAGAGUUCGGGUUCAUGACAUGAUAAUAGAGAAUGGAUUUAGAGUCAGAGAUAGGGUGGAAAUAAGUAUAAGUAUGUGCAGCUGCUCGUAAGUUGAGAGCUCCUGUAUUGGAGGCCAGUAAAUCAGAUCCUAUAGGGAGGUGUGGAAGGAGCUUGGGAAGAGAAUGGGUCCAGAACCGAGGCUCUGGGCCUUCUUUCCUGAAUGGAUCUGUGUUAAUCCAUCAUCUCUUUGGACUGUUUGCACUUCAGUAAAUUGAUGGACAAGAUCUCUGAGUCCUUUCUGAUUCUGAGUCCUUUGAUUUAUGUGAUUAUGAAACUGACUACGAAGUUGGGAAUCAUAGUGCUAUGAAACUGACUAGACUUGUGGAUGCAGUGAUAAUUGGUGUCAUAGUUCUUUUGAAAGUAUGCCUCACUUGUCCUAAACUAUCUGGUUCAUCUGUCAUAUAUUGGCUGGAGAAAAAUAUCUUAAUGACAUCUUGUUUCCCCACUUUAUUUCCCAAGAAAUGUUUACAAAUCUUAGAAAUUUUCCAUAUCAUUUUCCCUCCUUGGAAGAGCAUGAAGUGAUCGACUACCCAGGAUAAUUCGAGCCUGUUUCUGGUUGCGGAGCAAUGGAUUACUUCUCUGGGACACAAUGAGGUACUCAUGAGUUUGGGCAGAGUGAGCCAGGGACACAUAUGAUGAGCUGACCAGCAGAGUAUGUGAGCAAGCAAUCCCGAAUGCCUCUGGGUGAGCCGUCAGGGACAGAUGGGCUCCUCCAGGCCUGUCGUGACCCUUUCAAACUGUAACCACUCAGGAGGAACAGCCUCAAUAGAUGGCCAGCCUGGCUAUUCAGUUUGCAACAAUGCACACCUGAAGAACAGCAGGUUCACAUAAGCCAACGCUUCCCUCUCACGGAGGUGUUCAAAGGCGGAUGUUAGAAGUGGUUCUAAAAUAAAGAAUCGGACAGUCUCUCCCGCAGUAUCAAUUUGGAAUGUCCGUGUAGAGGUCAUGAAAGUGGCUUAGUCAAUGGUUUCCUGGUGAUUUAAAAACCAGAGUUCUGUGGACACUUUAAAGCCAAAGAAAAACACAGCAGAAUCUAAACUAUUUAUAUAUGAACCAAGUGCCCGAAUCCAAAAAGGGAAAUAAAAACAACUCAUUUUCAACACUUCUGAGUCAUUUUAUCCUUUCAGGAACUUUCUUAAAAAAAAAAAAAAUUAUUUAUUUCGCUGUGCCAGGUCUUCGUUGGGGCAUGCAGGAUCUAGUUUUCCUAAGCAGGGAUGGAACCCAGGCCCCCUGCAUGGGGAGCAUGGAGUCUUAGCCACUGGACCACCAAGAAGUCCCAGGAACUUUCUUUUUCAAUACGCAUUCAUUCCGCACCUUACAUUCUCUUCCCACUGUCAACGAUGCUUUUGUGUGGUAUGCUGAAUAUCCAUGACAUCAGGUAUAAGGUAACUAAAAUAGUAACAAAGGCCUAGAUUCUAGGAUAUACAGUAUUCCUCACUGAUCUGUCUGGUGUUUUUAAUGGUAAAACUAAACCUUUUGUAAUAAAACCGAAGCCUCCUUUUUAUUGCUCUGGUUCAUAUGCGAUUUUGCAAAAACUGCUGGCCAUCUUGGGUCAACAUUUCCAUUUAACACAUAAAUAUUUUACAGCAUCCAUAUCAAAUUACCAACCCUGAUUAUUAAAGGAAUUCAGCUUUUCAACCCUACCGUUCUAUUUUUAAGUUAUUUAUGAAUUUGUGUUUGAAGCGUUUUUCAAGCUUGAGAAAAAUUAAAGGAGUAAACUGCUGGAAUUGUACUUUGUGUCACACUGUCACAGACAGCAAAUUUGGUCCAAUUUCUGUGGAUAAAGUGGAAAAAUAACUUCUUAUUUGGAACGUCUACUGCUUUGUACUUACAAUUUACUUUGUACAGCAAUUUACACUUUUCAAAGUACUUUCCCACAUUUUGUUUUAUUUGUCCCUAUAACAGCCUCCUCAGGUGGAUAAAGGAAACUAAACCCCCAAAUUCCUAGAUAAAUGAUCAGUAUUUCUUAUCUCAGCACACAGCCCAAUGUAGUACAGCAGAAGGCGCACAGCAAUGAAUGUCAGAAGACCCAGGCUGAGUCUUGUAUUUGCAAUACUUUUAUUUGUGGUUUGUUUAGAGCCCAGUUUCUCAAUGUCUCUAAACCUCAGCUUCUCCAUCUGUCCAGUGGGGUACUUAUCUCACAGGGAUGCUGGGAGGAUAAACUUAGAUUCUGCCCACCCAUCCACCUAUCUACCUAUCAUUUUGAAGUCAUAAAAUACUUUAUAAGUAAAAGUAGUAUUAUGUUAUCCCUGGUGGCUCAGAUGGUAAAGAAUCUGCCUGCAAUGCAGGAGACCCGGGUUCGAUCCCUGGGUUGGGAAGAUCCCCUGGAGAAGGACAUGGCAACCCACUGCAGCAUUCUUGCUUGGAAAAUCGCCUGGACAGAGGAGCCUGGUGGGCUACGGUCUGUGGGAUCUCAAAGAGUGGGACACAGCUGAGCGACUGACACUUUCUUUUCAUGUUGUUAUUAGUGUGUAUUCUGUGAGUAGUUCUUCUUAGGUUGUUUUUAUUUAUUAUUGCUUGGGUUUUUUUUUUUUAACCUAUUUUUUAAAAGGAAUUGGAGGCUAUGCAUGGCAAGAGAUGUAAUGUCAGAAACUGAAGAUUUAGAAUCUAAUUCUCCUGCAGCAUUAUGCAAAUUUAUGGAAAUUCUCUGAUGCCUCAGUUUUCCCAUUUGUAAUGAACAUUACCUUUCACAGCAAAGUAGGGCUGAGAUUCUGAUUAUUUCAAUAUCCACCCUCUGAGAGACUGAUUAUCUCAAUAGCCAAACUGUUCUUUAAGUUAAAAUGUAUUAGUCCUGGAAGCUACAAAAACUUUCUCAGACAGGUAUGUUAUUAUUGAGAAAGUUAUGAUCUAACUCUUAUGUACAAACUUGUAGAAUGGAGAAUGAUUUCAGGCUAACAAAGUUAAUGUUUAAUAAAAUCCCUAAUCUGAUGUA